RNAcentral lists this ribosomal RNA (300 nucleotides) under Triticum aestivum (bread wheat). RNAcentral's name for it is "partial small subunit ribosomal RNA". Lineage: Eukaryota; Viridiplantae; Streptophyta; Magnoliopsida; Poales; Poaceae. The record is from RNAcentral.
AUGCCCUACUCCUGUUGCGAUAAGCAUUUGGUUUCCAUCCGCAAGACAAGUUUCUGCUUGUGUAACAACAAUACUGUCUGGGUCGUCAAGUUUCUAACUAUCAUCUGUUCCAGGAUCAUCCUGACCAUUAGGUUCCUCGUGUUCUCCUUGGCGGUUCUGUAUGUUGUCUCAAGACGUAUUGGCCUGUUGACACUGCAAAGGAAGUUGGUUGAUGCAAUCAGAUCAAGCUCAGUAUCAGCUGGAGACAUCUUGGAUGAAGUGCAGGAGGGACCUUCCACAGCAAAUGCUCCUCCCAUCUGA